GAUGAACGCUGACAGAAUGCUUAACACAUGCAAGUCAACUUGAAUUUGGGUUUUUAACUUAGGUUUGGGUGGCGGACGGGUGAGUAACGCGUAAAGAACUUGCCCCACAGCUAGGGACAACAUUUGGAAACGAAUGCUAAUACCUAAUAUUAUGAUAAUAGGGCAUCCUAUAAUUAUGAAAGCUAUAAGCGCUGUGAGAGAGCUUUGCGUCCCAUUAGCUAGUCGGAGAGGUAACGGCUCACCAAGGCGAUGAUGGGUAGCCGGCCUGAGAGGGUGAUCGGCCACAAGGGGACUGAGACACGGCCCUUACUCCUACGGGAGGCAGCAGUGGGGAAUAUUGGACAAUGGACCAAGAGUCUGAUCCAGCAAUUCUGUGUGCACGAUGAAGUUUUUCGGAAUGUAAAGUGCUUUCAGUUGGGAAGAAAGAAAUGACGGUACCAACAGAAGAAGUGACGGCUAAAUACGUGCCAGCAGCCGCGGUAAUACGUAUGUCACGAGCGUUAUCCGGAUUUAUUGGGCGUAAAGCGCGUCUAGGUGGUUAUGUAAGUCUGAUGUGAAAAUGCAGGGCUCAACUCUGUAUUGCGUUGGAAACUGUAUAGCUAGAGUACUGGAGAGGUAAGCGGAACUACAAGUGUAGAGGUGAAAUUCGUAGAUAUUUGUAGGAAUGCCGAUGGGGAAGCCAGCUUACUGGACAGAUACUGACGCUGAAGCGCGAAAGCGUGGGUAGCAAACAGG
RNAcentral lists this ribosomal RNA (735 nucleotides) under uncultured Fusobacterium sp. RNAcentral's name for it is "bacterial SSU rRNA". It matches the Rfam family "Bacterial small subunit ribosomal RNA", at positions 28 to 776 of the family's 1533-position model. The record is from RNAcentral. Lineage: Bacteria; Fusobacteriati; Fusobacteriota; Fusobacteriia; Fusobacteriales; Fusobacteriaceae.